This is a long non-coding RNA of Hylaeus volcanicus, 423 nucleotides long. RefSeq lists it as uncharacterized. The transcript has 3 exons. The record is from RefSeq and is a predicted model, not a curated record. Lineage: Eukaryota; Metazoa; Arthropoda; Insecta; Hymenoptera; Colletidae.
UCGUAUUCGGAACCGCGACGCACGGAUUUCCGCGACUCGAUGUGCACGACGUUUACACCUAGGUCCUUCGACCGAUAGAAUUCUAUUUCAGCACGGGAGAUUCGUUUCGUCAACGUCAAGGGAGGGAUUGGCAUAAGACCUGCAGCACCCGCGCCAAGCCGCCGACUUGGUUUUUCAACGAAAAGACGACGGAAUUUUUGUUGUCGCUGUUCGGCCGACGCUCGACCAUGGGGAUCUGAACGAACGAAAGAACACGUUCAUCCAUUACUCCCGUUCAUCUUACAGUUGACGUUUACUUUUUUAACUUUUCUUCAAAACAACAUUAUGCUAUGGAACGUUUGCACCGCACACUAUGCACUCGCUAGACGAAGAAAUUCAGUUAGCGACACCAGCGUGGGACCUUGGACACAGAUUCGAGGUAAA